GUCAUGCCACAGCAUCUCAAUCGGGUUGAGAUCAGGACUCUGACCGGGCCACUUCAGAAGGCGUAUUUUCUUCUGUUUAAGCCAUUCUGUUGUUGAUUUACUUCUAUGCUGUGGGUCAUUGUCCUGUUGCAACACCCAUCUUCUGUUGAGCUUCAGCUGGUAGACAGAUGGUCUUAAGCUGCAAAAUGUCUUGAUAAACUUGGGAAUUCAUUUUUCC
Pelobates cultripes (western spadefoot toad) is the source of this 217-nucleotide non-coding RNA. NCBI's taxonomy places the organism in Eukaryota, Metazoa, Chordata, Amphibia, Anura, Pelobatidae. The record is from the annotation of a GenBank genome assembly.